UCUGCUGUGGAAACGCAACGCUUAACGUUGCGCGUGCAGUGGGUACGGGCUGACUAGAGUGCAGUAGGGGAGUCUGGAAUUCCUGGUGUAGCGGUGAAAUGCGCAGAUAUCAGGAGGAACACCGGUGGCGAAGGCGGGACUCUGGGCUGUAACUGACACUGAGGAGCGAAAGCAUGGGGAGCGAACAGGAUUAGAUACCCUGGUAGUCCAUGCCGUAAACGUUGGGCACUAGGUGUGGGGGACAUUCCACGUUCUCCGCGCCGUAGCUAACGCAUUAAGUGCCCCGCCUGGGGAGUACGGUCGCAAGGCUAAAACUCAAAGGAAUUGACGGGGGCCCGCACAAGCGGCGGAGCAUGCGGAUUAAUUCGAUGCAACGCGAAGAACCUUACCAAGGCUUGACAUACACUGGACCGUUCUGGAAACAGUUCUUCUCUUUGGAGCUGGUGUACAGGUGGUGCAUGGUUGUCGUCAGCUCGUGUCGUGAGAUGUUGGGUUAAGUCCCGCAACGAGCGCAACCCUCGUUCUAUGUUGCCAGCACGUGAUGGUGGGAACUCAUAGGAGACUGCCGGGGUCAACUCGGAGGAAGGUGGGGAUGACGUCAAAUCAUCAUGCCCUUUAUGUCUUGGGCUUCACGCAUGCUACAAUGGCUGGUACAGAGAGAGGCGAACCCGUGAGGGUAAGCGAAUCCCUUAAAGCCAGUCUCAGUUCGGAUCGUAGUCUGCAAU
Molecule: ribosomal RNA, 725 nt
Filed under: uncultured bacterium
Lineage: Bacteria
Description: bacterial SSU rRNA
Rfam family: Bacterial small subunit ribosomal RNA
Source: RNAcentral